GGAGUUUGUGUGUAUAAGGACUCCGCUCGAGUGGUUGAUUGUUCUGGUGUACUUCCCCGACAUCAGAGCCGUCCCAUUCGAGCGGAGCCCUAUACACACUAGGUCGCAGG
Molecule: regulatory RNA element, 110 nt
Organism: Corynebacterium epidermidicanis
Lineage: Bacteria; Bacillati; Actinomycetota; Actinomycetes; Mycobacteriales; Corynebacteriaceae
Rfam family: mraW RNA
Source: Rfam